CAUAGUGAUCCGGUGGUUCUGAAUGGAAGGGCCAUCGCUCAACGGAUAAAAGGUACUCCGGGGAUAACAGGCUGAUACCGCCCAAGAGUUCAUAUCGACGGCGGUGUUUGGCACCUCGAUGUCGGCUCAUCACAUCCUGGGGCUGAAGUAGGUCCCAAGGGUAUGGCUGUUCGCCAUUUAAAGUGGUACGCGAGCUGGGUUUAGAACGUCGUGAGACAGUUCGGUCCCUAUCUGCCGUGGGCGCUGGAGAACUGAGGGGGGCUGCUCCUAGUACGAGAGGACCGGAGUGGACGCAUCACUGGUGUUCGGGUUGUCAUGCCAAUG
This 324-nucleotide ribosomal RNA is filed under the name Escherichia coli. RNAcentral's name for it is "partial 23S ribosomal RNA". It matches the Rfam family "Bacterial large subunit ribosomal RNA", at positions 2411 to 2734 of the family's 2925-position model. Lineage: Bacteria; Pseudomonadati; Pseudomonadota; Gammaproteobacteria; Enterobacterales; Enterobacteriaceae. The record is from RNAcentral.